AUCGCUUCUCGGCCUUUUGACUAAGAUCAAGUGUAGUAUCUUAUAUAUUUAUUGCUAUAUAUUUGAAUAUAUAUUUGUUAAAAGUAUAUAAUUGUACAUUUGGCUAUGCAAAUUCGUUAAAUAAAUUUACCAAGGCCACCCAAAGCAUAAAGGUCAUCCCAGCUGCCUUGCUAAAGCAAACAGGG
Small nuclear RNA from Notechis scutatus (mainland tiger snake), 185 nucleotides. RefSeq annotates it as U2 spliceosomal RNA. NCBI's taxonomy places the organism in Eukaryota, Metazoa, Chordata, Lepidosauria, Squamata, Elapidae. The record is from RefSeq and is a predicted model, not a curated record.